RNAcentral lists this ribosomal RNA (512 nucleotides) under uncultured Acinetobacter sp. RNAcentral's name for it is "bacterial SSU rRNA". It matches the Rfam family "Bacterial small subunit ribosomal RNA", at positions 8 to 518 of the family's 1533-position model. The record is from RNAcentral. Lineage: Bacteria; Pseudomonadati; Pseudomonadota; Gammaproteobacteria; Moraxellales; Moraxellaceae.
AGAGUUUGAUCAUGGCUCAGAUUGAACGCUGGCGGCAGGCUUAACACAUGCAAGUCGAGCGGAGAUGAGGUGCUUGCACCUUAUCUUAGCGGCGGACGGGUGAGUAAUGCUUAGGAAUCUGCCUAUUAGUGGGGGACAACAUUCCGAAAGGAAUGCUAAUACCGCAUACGUCCUACGGGAGAAAGCAGGGGAUCUUCGGACCUUGCGCUAAUAGAUGAGCCUAAGUCGGAUUAGCUAGUUGGUGGGGUAAAGGCCUACCAAGGCGACGAUCUGUAGCGGGUCUGAGAGGAUGAUCCGCCCACUGGGACUGAGACACGGCCCAGACUCCUACGGAGGCAGCAGUGGGGAAUAUUGGACAAUGGGGGGAACCCUGAUCCAGCCAUGCCGCGUGUGUGAAGAAGGCUUAUGGUUGUAAAGCACUUUAAGCGAGGAGGAGGCUACUGAGACUAAUACUCUUGGAUAGUGGACGUACUCGCAGAAUAAGCACCGGCUAACUCUGUGCCAGCAGCCGC